UGUUCUGACACUGAAUACAGAGAACAAUAAUUUUCCCUACCAAUUACCUAACUUCCAUAAGUGUGAGAUCUGUUUGCUGUCUUUUCCAAAAGAGACCCAGUUCCAGCGCCAUAUGAGGGAUCAUGAGCAAAAUGACAAGCCUCAUCGGUGUGAUCAGUGUCCAAUGUCAUUCAACGUUGAAUUCAACUUGACACUACAUAAAUGUACCCACAGUGGUGAAGAUCCUACAUGUCCUGUGUGCAACAAGAAGUUCUCCAGAGUGGCUAGUCUGAAAGCUCAUAUAAUGCUACAUGAGAAAGAAGAGAAUCUUAUCUGUUCAGAGUGUGGAGAUGAAUUUACUUUACAGAGUCAGCUGUCCAUACACAUGGAAGAACAUCGUCAAGAAUUGGCUGGCAGUAGAAUCCACAGCUGCAAAUCUUGCAAAAGGGAAUUUGAAACUUCCUCACAGCUAAAGGAGCAUAUGAAAACUCACUUUAAAAUAAGGGUAUCAAAUACAAGAUCUUAUAACAGAAACAUUGACAGAAGUGGGUUUACCUAUUCAUGUCCGCACUGUGGAAAGACUUUCCAAAAACCAAGUCAGUUAACUCGACAUGUUAGAAUACAUACAGGUGAAAGACCUUUUGAAUGCAGUGAAUGUGGAAAAGCCUUCAACCAGAAGGGGGCACUGCAAACCCAUAUGAUCAAGCACACUGGUGAAAAACCCCACGCUUGUGCCUUUUGUCCUGCAGCCUUUUCUCAGAAAGGCAAUCUUCAGUCACACAUACAGAGAGUUCAUUCAGAGGUCAAGAAUGGCCCUACGUAUAACUGUACAGAAUGUAGCUGUGUCUUUAAAAGCUUGGGCAGCUUAAAUACGCAUAUCAGCAAGAUGCAUAUGGGUGGUCCACAGAAUUCUGCAAGCUCUUCAACUGACAUAUCUCAUGGUACAGCGGACUCUGUCACUCAGCCUCUAACAACAUCUCCUGCUAAUCUUUUGCAACCUGUUGAUAGCAAAUGGAAGAACGCAACACAUUUUCGGUCUCCGCUUCUUCAACAGACAGAAAACCAGGUGUCUUCAGCUACCACUCAUCAGGGACAGCAGGCUGUAACCGACGUGAUCCAGCAGCUCCUUGAGUUGUCAGAACCAGGUCCAGUAGAAAAUAAUCAGCCUCAGCAGUCUGGUCAGCAACUCAACAUUGCAGUGGGUAUCAAUAGAGACAUUUUGCAGCAAGCUUUAGAGAACAGUGGGUUGUCUUCAAUUCCUGUCUCUGCUCAUUCUACUGAUUGCGGCCAGGCUAAGACACCUGGGGUCCAGGAUCAAAAUCCAGAUGUCCAGCCUCUCUCAAAUCAUCAGGCUGACUCUAAUAAUGCAGAACAAGUUAAGGAGCAAGAGACUACAGAUAAACUAGAAAAGAAAGAAAAAAAGGUCAUUAAGAAAAAGUCACCGUUUUUACCUGGUUCUAUACGUGAAGAAAAUGGAAUAAGAUGGCACGUUUGUCCUUAUUGCGCUAAAGAAUUUAAAAAACCAAGUGAUCUAGUGCGUCACAUUCGCAUUCAUACCCAUGAAAAGCCGUUCAAGUGUCCCCAGUGUUUCCGCGCCUUUGCAGUCAAGAGUACACUCACAGCACACAUAAAAACGCAUACUGGGAUUAAAGCUUUCAAGUGCCAGUUUUGUAUGAAAUGCUUUUCCACCUCAGGGAGUUUAAAAGUUCACAUUCGUCUACAUACGGGUGUUAGGCCUUUCGCUUGUCCUCACUGUGAUAAAAAGUUUAGAACAUCAGGCCACAGGAAAACUCAUAUUGCUUCACAUUUUAAGCAUACUGAGCUAAGAAAGUUGCGGCAUCAACGUAAACCUGCGAAAGUUCGAGUAGGAAAGACCAGCGUUCCAGUACCAGACAUUCCUUUGCAAGAACCCAUACUCAUCACUGAUUUAGGUCUUAUCCAGCCCAUCCCAAGGAAUAGCCAGUUCUUCCAAAAUUAUUUUAAUAAUAAUUUUGUGAAUGAUGCAGACAGACCAUACAAAUGUUUUUACUGCCAUCGAGCCUAUAAAAAAUCUUGUCAUCUUAAACAACACAUCAGGUCACAUACUGGUGAAAAGCCAUUUAAGUGCUCUCAGUGUGGAAGAGGUUUUGUGUCAGCCGGAGUGCUGAAAGCACAUAUUAGAACACACACUGGAUUGAAAGCUUUCAAGUGCGUGAUAUGCAAUGGGGCCUUCACUACUGGUGGUAGCCUUAGGCGACAUAUGGGUAUCCAUAAUGACCUUCGACCAUAUAUGUGUCCAUAUUGUCAAAAAACGUUCAAAACAUCACUAAACUGUAAAAAACACAUGAAGACUCAUAGGUACGAACUUGCACAGCAACUUCAGCAGCAUCAGCAAGCUGCUUCCAUAGAUGAUUCUACAGUAGAUCAGCAGAGCAUUCAUGUUUCUACACAGAUGCAAGUAGAGAUUGAAAGUGAUGAGCUGCAGCAGUCAGAAGCUGUUACAACUGAUCAGCAAGCUAUUUUAGAGUUAGACCAGCAGCCAGUAGUAGGCACAGAAGAAACGGGACUAGAACAGCAAUUGACUGAUCAGCCUUUACAGCAAGAUGAAGAUAGGUUUGUGACGUCCCAGCAUGCUUUACAGGAAAACAUCACUCAAUUUGAACAACAAGGUAUAACACAGCAGUCAUUUGAUCAACAAGGUUUAUCACAAGGUUUUACUGUGAACGACAGCUACAAUCAGCAGACUCAAUUUCCGGCUGUACAGCAGCUGCAGGAUUCAAGCACACUUGAAUCUCAGGCCCUUUCAACGAGUUACCAUCCUCCAGCCCUUCUUCAAGUUCCAAAUACAGAUACUAUUAAUGUAACUACUCGCUUGAUACAAGAUCAGUCAUCACAAGAAGAACUUGAAUUGCAUACCCAACGGCCUCAUUUCCUUGAGGAUAAUGAAGAUCAAAGCAGACGUUCAUAUAGGUGUGAAUAUUGCAACAAGGGUUUCAAGAAAUCCAGCCAUUUGAAACAACAUGUACGAUCGCAUACUGGUGAGAAGCCUUAUAAAUGCCAACUUUGUGGCCGUGGCUUUGUUUCCUCAGGAGUUCUUAAAUCACAUGAGAAGACUCAUACAGGAGUUAAAGCAUUCAGCUGUAGCAUUUGCAAUACGUCCUUCACAACUAAUGGCAGCCUUACCAGGCACAUGGCAACUCACAUGAGCAUGAAGCCUUAUAAGUGCCCGUUCUGUGAUGAAAGCUUUCGAACAACUGUUCACUGCAAAAAACAUAUGAAAAAACAUCAGGCAGUCUCCUCAGCUGUAGCAGCAGCUACAGAAACAGGAGGGGGAGUUACAUGUGUUGAAGAUGAUGAUGAAAACUCUGAAAGAACUUCCAGAAAAUCGCGGCCUGGUGUCAUUACUUUUACAGAAGAAGAAACAGCAGAACUGGCAAAAAUUAGACCUCGAGAAAGUGCUACCGUUUCAGAAAAAGUUCUUGUCCAGUCUGCUGCGGAAAAAGAUAGAAUUAGUGAGAUCAAGGAUAAGCAAGCAGAACUGGAAGCAGAGCCUAAAUAUGCUAACUGUUGCAGUUACUGCCCGAAAAGCUUUAAAAAACCCAGUGAUUUAGUCAGGCAUGUUCGUAUCCAUACUGGAGAGAAGCCGUAUAAAUGCGAAGAGUGUGGGAAGAGUUUCACUGUAAAGUCUACUCUAGAUUGUCAUGUUAAAACACACACAGGCCAGAAGCUCUUCAGUUGUCAUGUAUGCAGUAAUUCUUUUUCUACCAAAGGGAGUCUAAAAGUACACAUGCGCUUGCAUACAGGAGCAAAGCCGUUUAAAUGUCCACACUGUGAUUUACGGUUUCGUACUUCAGGGCGCAGAAAAACCCACAUACAGUGUCAUUAUAAACCAGAGACAAAGAAAGUUAGGAAGCCUGUCACACGUACUUCCGCUGAGGGAUUACAACCAGUCAGUCUUCUUAAUUCAUCCUCAACAGACCCUAAUGUUUUCAUCAUGAACAAUUCUGUUUUGACAAGUCAAUUUGAUCAAAAUUUGCUUCAACAAGGACUUGUGGGCCAGGCCAUCCUACCUGCUUCCGUGUCAGCUGGAGGUGACUUAACUGUGUCCUUGACAGAUGGUAGCUUGGCCACUCUUGAAGGAAUACAGUUACAACUUGCUGCUAAUCUGGUUGGACAAAAUGUUCAAAUUUCUGGAAUAGAUGCCACCAGUAUUAACAACAUAACGUUACAGAUUGAUCCAAGUAUUCUACAGCAGACAUUACAACAGAGUAAUUUACUUGCUCAGCAGCUAACUGGGGAUCCCAGUAUGGGUGCACAGAAUUCUUCCCUGCAGACAACAGAAAAUGCAGUGCCAGCUAAUGUGGUUAUUCAGCCUAUAUCAGGCCUAUCUUUACAGCCUACAGUAACAUCUUCAGCUAAUAUGACAAUAGGAUCCCUAUCUGAGCAAGAGCCUGUGCUGACAACCAACACUAGUGGUGCACAGGACAUCUCUCAAGUCAUGACCUCACAGGGUGUGGUGUCCUCUUCAAAUGGACAGCAUGAGAUAACACUGACCAUAAAUAAUUCCAGUUUGAGUCAAGUUCUAGCUCAUGCUACAGGUUCUACUACUACAAGCUCAUCAGGAAGUCCUCAAGAAAUCACUCUUACGAUAUCAGGCCAAGAUCUUAUUCAGCAUAAUUCUGGAAGUAGUGAUCUGAAUGGCAGCUUAAGGCUGACAGCCCCAGCAAUCAACAGUCAGACUACAGGUGCUACGUUAACUAUAAGCAAUGACCAGCUUCUUUCUCAGGGCACUUCACUAAACACUCCAGAACUUAAUACAACAGGUGGAACAAACCUUCCUUCAACACCGCCCAUAUCUCAGUCCACAGUUGCUGCCCCAAAUUUAGUAAUGUCUCCAUCAGGAGUUGGAGGAGAUGGUAGUGUGACCUUGACUCUUGCUGACACUCAGGGAAUGUUGUCCGGUGGUCUUGAUGCAGUUACACUUAAUAUUACUUCACAGGGUCAGCAGUUCCCUGCUAUACUCACAGAUUCCAGUCUCACUAGCCAAAGUGGGUCAGGCUCACAGCAAGUCAUACUGGUGAGCCAUACACCCCAUUCAGCAUCUGCAAGCUCUGAUGAAAUAACAUACCAGGUGACAGAGGUUUCUCCUAGUGUGACUAAAAGCAGUCAAGCAGAAAAAGAAGGUCGUGUGCACCAGUGUUUUGAGUGUAAUCAGACCUUUUCUUCCGCCACUCUGUUGAUGCACCAUAGUAAAGAAGUCCAUGGCAAAGAGAGAAUACACGUUUGCCAUGUCUGCAAUAAAGCGUUUAAACGGGCGACACAUCUCAAGGUAUCUGGAACACAUGCAGACCCACCAGGCUGGACCUUCACUGAGUUCCCAGAAGCCUAGAGUGUUUAAGUGUGAUACUUGUGAAAAAGCUUUUGCUAAACCAAGUCAGCUGGAGAGACAUAGUCGCAUUCACACAGGGGAACGGCCAUUUCAGUGUACGCUAUGUGAAAAAGCUUUUAACCAGAAGAGCGCUCUUCAAGUUCACAUGAAAAAGCACACGGGGGAGAGGCCUUACAAAUGUGAUUACUGUGCAAUGGGAUUUACACAGAAAAGCAAUAUGAAACUCCAUAUGAAACGAGCUCAUGGUUACACUGGUCCUGUACAAGAACCUGCUAAUCAUCAAGAACAAGAAGGUGAAGAUAUCAGUCGUGCUCUGAAUUUAGAAGAAGUUGUACAAGAAUCUUCCAGUGAAUGGCAAAGUAUAGGCAAUGUUUUUCGAUGACACCUUGAAAUUUGAAAGCUGAGAAUGCUUUCAGGACUUGAACUGCUCUAAAUAAGUUUUCAGAAAAGUAAAAGAUGGAUUUUACAGUUGAAGCUUCAAGCAUUGAAAAUAUUAACAAUAGAAUAAUAUAUUAUAGUUUUUUUUUAAUUAUUUACAAAAAUGACCUAAAAGAAUCAUUGUCUUUUUUAAGCUUGUAGAAGAAUAUUGGGAAAACAUCAUUUAGUCUGUGCUAAGUUGUCUGUGAAUCAAUGAACUCAGGUAAUACUAUAUACAGUUUCUUCAUCUUCUAACUCACAGCCAGUAUAUCUAGUUGAAAAAUAAACUGGAACUUCAUAUCAGAACAGAAUGAUUCCCAUUUUUAAAGAAGGUGAAAAAUAACUUUAUGGGAAAAUCAUGAAACUGUCAGUCAACUUUUCUUUUUUUAAUUGUUUAAAGAAAUAAUUGAAGGUUGGAAACAAAAUGUUACUAAGCAGAUGCAUGCAGGUUGUUUUUUUUUUUUUUUUUAAACAAGGCACAGGAAAAUGCUAUGUUUCUAUUUUUAAGCUUCUUCUAGUGCAUUAUGAGAAUUUGUGGGGGAAAAAAUAAAUUACCAUGAAUUUAGGGCAUUUCUGCAGCUAAACUCUUGAAAGAGGGAGCAGGUUCAUUUCCAUUCCAACUGCAAAGACAGUUGAUGCUUUAUACAUUAAAAUGUCUGAGGUUUUAAACUCAGCAAUAAUUAUUGAAAGAGAAUCCAAACUAGAAGAAGUUAAAAUAAAAAUGUCUUAUGUUUGCCGUAUUGGGUCAGCAGGUGCAUAUCUCAUUAUCUGUGGAAAGCACAGCCAUAUACUACAGCCGGGAAGUGAACACAGAGUUUUGUUUGCAGCAGUCAAAGCUAGCUGCGUACUAGGUCACCCAUAUUAUACAGAAGUCACCAGUCUGUAAACAGUUAUUAUUUCAAAUCUGUAAAUUCCUCAUUAUUUUCUUUGUGAUUUCUGGAAAUAUGUUACACUUUUCUUGUUUAAAUCAUUGUUUCAGCAAAACUACCUAGUUAACAAAGUACUGCUUUGAAAGGUGCCACUUGUUAGGUAUAUUUGUAACAAAGAAACACUGGAGUAAAAACAUAGUCAUUUUUAAGACAUUCCAAAGACAGAAGCUCUUUUCUUUCUUUCUUUUUUAUUUUUUUACUUUGUUUUUUUGAGUUUUAUUUAUACGUUACAUAUAUAUAUAUAGAGAGAGAGAGAGAGAUAUGUGUGUGUAUGUGUAUAUAUAUAUAACAGAUUAUAUGAGCCUCUGUGUGGCUGAUAAGUAUAUUUUGUAAAUAGUAACCCCAGUUACAGGAAGUUCAUCUUUUCAGUUUCAUGCGAGCACUUCUAGAUCAGUGGUGGAUUCAUUGUACUGUAAUACAGAGUUAACUUUUAAUUUACUUUCUGAAAAAAGCAAUUGCCCACAGAUCCAAGAAGUCCCUUUUUGUAAAUAUUGUUUAUACUUUAUCUAUGAUUCAAACUAGUUAUUUCAGAUUCCUGAUACAAGAAAUCACUGUUGUUUUUGAUAGGCCAUCUCUUAAUUCUUUUGUUAACUCUUUGGCAUAUGUAUAUAAGUAAUAUAGUUGGUGACAUGAAAAAAACACUUUUGUUAUGUGAAAUAUUUAAUUCAAAAACAUGUUAAAUAAUACUACUUUUUUCCAAACUCUGCUUUGUGUAUUUUUUUUCAAUUUGAUUCUGGAUAGUAGGAAAUUCUUUAAACAGAUUUUAUUUUUUUUUUGUUAAACAGGAGCGUGCCUCCCAGUGUUAAAUCUAGAGCAGAUGAAGUUGUUUCAGCAGUGCUUUUCAUUCUAGACAAGGUGUUAGCCUUUUAACUGUUUCAGAAAGACAUAUUUUACUUUGAUAGUCAUUGUCUGGACAUACUAAGCUCAUGGUGUAGCCUCCUGUUUACCUAUAAUAAAGAGUAUUUUAAGUUAUGUAAUCUUAACCCUGAAUAAGUUCUCAUGUGCUAUAUUGUGUCUACUGCCCAUAAAAACAAACAAACAAAGACAAAAACAACUUUGCACUUUUUUUUUCAGAGAAUACUUCAUAAACGCAGAGCAGUUUGUUGGAAUUUAUUUGCUUGAAUAGAUAAUAAUACUUUCCAGAGAUUUCUAUCUACAGUAUGACAUAAAAUUAUUUUGCACUUGGUCACAUCCAGGUGUAAUUCUAUCCUUUAAAACAGGAUUGUGAUUCCUGAGUGCUCGAAAGCAUUUAUCUGUCCUAGCUGUGAUUGCUUUGCCAGCAAGUAAAAGCUAGUAGCGGUUGACACGAAGUGAGCAUAUGCUAACAGCAGAUCUCAUGAGUAAAAAGAUACCAUUUUAAAGUGGUCUGUUCUCAGAGUGCUUUGAAGUCUUGAUUACAGGAAAUGAGUGCAUGUUGCAAGUCUUGGAAAUGACGAAUAAACAGCAUGAGUUAAAUAAUCCUCCCAGCAUUUUUUCUGAAUUGAAUCUGCCAUUCCUUCAGCAUUUGGAGUCCUGUCAGCUACAAUAAAUAGAUGUUUUAAACUGCUUUCUCACACGGCAUUUGAUUUGCCUUUUUUACCCCCCACCCAGUGAACUUCAAGAAUCUGAUCUGAGUAUUAUAACAUAGAGUUUUUUUCCUUUAUUAAGAAAGAGCUGUUCUGCAGCAUAGCCCCGGUUACUUUGUAAAGUUGAACUGGAAAUUUUCAAAGCAAUCUGUCUGAUGUUCUGUACAGAUACAGAAACUGUAACAGAUGUGUUGAGACGUGCAAAAUAGAAGUAGAUAAGUGGUUUGUGUGGGGGUUAGGGUGGUUUUUUUUGUUGUUGUUUUUUUAAAUAAGAAAUAGAACUCUUUUCCUAAGGCCUUGUUGAAGAGUCAGAUUGUGUUGGGGGUAAAGGAGUAGUGUUUAGGCAGGCUUCCAUUCUUUCUGUUUUGAUGCAGUCCUAAGCUUAUCCUGUAGCCUCAGGGUGUUUGGCUUGUGUCUGUGCUCCUGUUUCUUUUGGUUUAUGUCCAUUCCCUCCGUGCUUGAAGUGACACACACCUUCUAAAACUACAGAUUGUCUUUUUGUAUUUCAGGAAAGAACCCUUUACUUAAGAGUCGUGUUUCUGUUUGAACGCAUACUCAUCAGAGCUAAAAGAAAAGUUUCAGUUGAAGCUUCAGUCUCUUACAAGAGAUGUCUGUCGGUAAAAUAUGUUAAAGUGCUAUGUCAUUAUAAGGAAUUUUUUUUUCUUAAUAGGAAGUAAAGCCAAAAAGAGGCACUUCCAGCCUCUGAGAAAGAUCAUUUAGGGGAAAAGGAGAGUGAUGAAGGAAAGGAAAAAGCUUCAGAUAAGUUCUGUAGUUCUAUAAUGCAGCAUUAUGAAAGAUAUGUCUUUCAAUUUCUCACCUUAAAUAUUCUCUCUAAUUCUUGAAGGCUGCUUUCAAAAUCAGCUUGAUUUUCACAUACCCUGUUCAAAGAAGAUACUUUGUGUUGUACUUGUUUAUGAAGGGCAGGAUUCUGUUGCCUGAACAUGGGUGUUUUACACCUUGCCGUUACCAGUUUAGCCUGCUGCUCCACAGACACACUGAUCUCCCAUAAGUCUUGUGUCAGAUUGCCAGCCUAAUGGGGAUGUCUUGGUUGUCAUAGGAUAUCUGAAAUGGUCGUAUGGGUUGUGCUAAGUCAGCUGCAAUGUGACUAGAAGCCUGUAGGGAGGCAACCGAGUCCUGCUCAAAGCGUAAUUUUUCAGUUUCUAAACAUUCUUCAUAAAUUGAGAGAAAACCAGAACAUUUUAUAUGUAAUGUUUUAUGUUACAAAACAAAACUUGUCCAAGUUUCAUUACAAGUUGAUUACUUUAUUUCAAUAAUGAAUUUUUUAAAAGCUAUGUUCCUAUAAGAACAAUACAUGUUCAAAUUAAAUAGACUAUUAUGUUGCAGAGUAUACAUCUGAGUGGAGUUACAGUAGAAAAAUACACAUAGCAACCAAUAUAGAUCAAAGAAGAAGUAAUAGGUGUGUGUAUGCUUAAUAAUUUUGGUGUUUUGUUUUCUUUAGUCUCUAUGUCUUUUCUAUCCUCUCCUUUUUUCAUUGCUUCAUAUUAAUGGAUACUGAUUUAAACCUACAAUAGAUUUAGUUGUGAAAUGGAAUUAAUAUAUUUAGGUAACUUUUACUGGGCACUCAUUAGGAAUGCGGUUUCAACCUGGUAAGCAUUAAUUGUAGUCUACAAUGCAUAGGCUAAAACAAACCAAAAAAUUAAUCAGACACUUGGAGAAUAGUUUGAAGAAAUAGUAAGUUUAAGUAAUAAAACAGUGCAAUUCAGAAGAGCCUUUUUUCCCUAUAUGUGGUUGGAAAUACCAUUGCCACAUAUUCAUUUUAGUAAUUUGUGAACAAUUAAUAUCUGUAUCUAACUCAGUUAUAAUUUAUUUCUAUGAGGCAACUACAGUACAACAGUUAAAUGCUCACAGUAGUUUACUAUGAGUUUGCUUUGGUGCGCUGCCGUCAACAGGCAUCCAGAUAUUAUUCAGUCAAAAGAUGAACUUACCAAAUAAAACACUGCUGCAGUACCAAGAGAAAGAUUUGGAAUUCUAACAUGAGAUGUGCAGGACUACCUUAAAUACCAGUACUGAAGGGCUUUCUUUCCGAAAUUAGACGUAUUUAUUUAUUUAUGUACUUAAUAUACUGCUAAGUUAAUGCUGUUGCAGCAGAGUUUGUGUGGAGCAACCGUGACUUUCAGUGGUCACGUGUACAAUCUUAGAUGUUUCUUCUCAGGGAAUAUCCCUUGUUUCUUUAGUCUAACUCAAAUUUGAAAUCCUCUUUCUCUCCCUCAUCCACUCUUAGUUCUAAUGGUUUGGGUGUGAUGAGCAAUUUAUAGUAUGGAAAGAACUUCCUUAUAACUAUUGCUCUGCAUCUCAUUGAUUCUACAACAUCUGCCCCCUCCCACGCUUCACAUACCUUGAACUCCCAGUGUUUGGUAACCUUUCCAUGACUGCCUAAUCCUGUUACGAAAAGUAAAUUAUUCUGUGAGUGAGAGAAGGAAGAUUAAAACAAAACAAAAAAACAAACCCAAAAACCCAAAUCAAAAAAAGUAUUUGGAUAAACAGUCCUUACAGCUUCUGCACAUAGUAGUUUUUUUUUUUUUUAUUACAGCAGUGUUUCAGAAAUUCACUAACAGCAGCGCUCAGUAUUCAAGACAUUAGCUCUGUAUUUGUAAUUCUGAUGCUCAGUUGAAAGAAACCAGAAGACUUGCACUUAAAUUAGGUACUUGGGAGAAAUAAUGAAGUCCAGCAUAUAGUUAGGGCAUCC
Molecule: non-coding RNA, 10965 nt
Organism: Struthio camelus australis
Lineage: Eukaryota; Metazoa; Chordata; Aves; Struthioniformes; Struthionidae
Source: RefSeq, a predicted model, not a curated record